This 384-nucleotide ribosomal RNA is filed under the name Lipomyces japonicus. RNAcentral's name for it is "SSU rRNA". It matches the Rfam family "Bacterial small subunit ribosomal RNA", at positions 488 to 907 of the family's 1533-position model. The record is from RNAcentral. Lineage: Eukaryota; Fungi; Ascomycota; Lipomycetes; Lipomycetales; Lipomycetaceae.
GUCCUGACCAAGUCUCGUGCCAGCAGUCGCGGUAAAACGAGGGGGGCAAGCGUUAGCCAUAAUUAAUAGGUCUAAAGGGUCCGCAGGCGGCUUAAUAAGUCCCUAAAAUAACAUUAGGUGAAACUACUAAGCUAGAAUAAUAAUUAAGAUAAAAGUACGUUCAGUAUAUAGAUAAAAUAAGAAAAAACCUGACAGGACUACCAUGCGAAGGCAUUAGUCUAAUAAUUAUUGACGCUCAUGGACGAAAGCUAGGAACACGAGCCGGAUUCGAUACCCGAGUAGUCCUAGCCGUAAACGAUGAAUGCUACUUUAUAAAAAAUAAGGACAGUGAAGACAUUAAGCAUUCCACCUGGAGAGUACGUUCCCAAGAAUGAAACUCAAAAC